UUAAAGCAGCACAACUAAGAUGACACAGAAGAAGAUUCACUCUAUAUGAAGACCAGCUAAGGAACUUGGAAAUGUUGGGCCCGAAGAAGAGAAGAUGAGAGAUUAUCAAGUCUUCACAGGACAUUCUUAAAACCUGUGAAGUAUACAUGAACUGAUACAGAGGGAAAUAAGCAGAAACAAGAAAAUGUACACAGUAACAGCAAUAUUGUGGAAUGAUCAAAUUCAACAGACUUAGCUACUAUCAGCAAUGCAAUAAUUCAGGACAGUUCUGAAAGACUUAUGACUAUCUACCUCCAGAGAAAGAACUGUUUGAGUCAAAAUGAAGAUGAAAGUGUAUGAUUUUCACUUGUUUAUUUGGCUUGAAGACCUCCAAGAGUGGAGAUCACACUACCUGUAAAACAUUCCAU
This 407-nucleotide long non-coding RNA is filed under the name Monodelphis domestica (gray short-tailed opossum). RNAcentral's name for it is "lncRNA (ENSMODG00000043600.1)". Lineage: Eukaryota; Metazoa; Chordata; Mammalia; Didelphimorphia; Didelphidae. The record is from RNAcentral.